GCCAAUCGCCUUUGUAUCUCAUACAAUCAUGAUGAUAAUCAUAUAGCUACUGUGGUAUGGCCUUAGUGAAUGGAUCUGCUGUAUUGUUCUUUCUGUCUACUCAUUUAGGGAUAACAUCUUGUCUCUAACGAGAUGAAAACGUCUGAGGAUGUGCUUGGAUCUAUAAUGAGAUCUGGGUUCCUUAUCUUGAAUAACGGUCCUAGUGUUAUUACUCUAAAGUGACAUCGGUCCUUCAAUCUUAGGAAUGACUCUUAAAUCCAUGAUGAAUUUUUUCAUCCAGAUAGCU
RNAcentral lists this long non-coding RNA (286 nucleotides) under Elaeis guineensis (African oil palm). Its description in RNAcentral is "long non-coding RNA (EGUI_LNC072233)". The record is from RNAcentral. Lineage: Eukaryota; Viridiplantae; Streptophyta; Magnoliopsida; Arecales; Arecaceae.